CCUACGGGUGGCAGCAGUGAGGAAUAUUGGUCAAUGGACGAGAGUCUGAACCAGCCAAGUAGCGUGAAGGAUGACUGCCCUAUGGGUUGUAAACUUCUUUUAUAUGGGAAUAAAAUGUUCCACGUGUGGGAUUUUGUAUGUACCAUAUGAAUAAGGAUCGGCUAACUCCGUGCCAGCAGCCGCGGUAAUACGGAGGAUCCGAGCGUUAUCCGGAUUUAUUGGGUUUAAAGGGAGCGUAGGUGGAUUGUUAAGUCAGUUGUGAAAGUUUGCGGCUCAACCGUAAAAUUGCAGUUGAAACUGGCAGUCUUGAGUACAGUAGAGGUGGGCGGAAUUCGUGGUGUAGCGGUGAAAUGCUUAGAUAUCACGAAGAACUCCGAUUGCGAAGGCAGUUCACUGGACUGCAACUGACACUGAGGCUCGAAAGUGUGGGUAUCAAACAGGAUUAGAUACCCCAGUAGGUC
This 461-nucleotide ribosomal RNA is filed under the name uncultured bacterium. RNAcentral describes it as "partial 16S ribosomal RNA". It matches the Rfam family "Bacterial small subunit ribosomal RNA", at positions 338 to 796 of the family's 1533-position model. The record is from RNAcentral.